RNAcentral lists this long non-coding RNA (279 nucleotides) under Mytilus galloprovincialis (Mediterranean mussel). The record is from RNAcentral. Lineage: Eukaryota; Metazoa; Mollusca; Bivalvia; Mytilida; Mytilidae.
GAAGAGAGUCGAGACACAUCCAUAUCGUAUCAUGCAACUAAUUCGUGAAGGUGAACUUGAAACUUUUAAAGUGUCGAUUUCAGUCGUUCUUUCUCAGUUGAAGCAGAUGUUGUGUAUUCUACUUUGAUACGCAGUCAGCAUAUUAACAACACCCAAAGGAUCAAGUAGAUAUGGAGCAGACCGUCCGGUGAUAAUUACACCCUUAAUAUUAUAUUGUAAACAUGAAACAAGGACGCACUGAUACGUGGGUUAUUAUGAAGUUACUGGUCAUCAUCAAUA